GCCUCGGUAGCGCAGUAGGCAACGCGUCAGUCUCCCAUAAACUGCAGCGAGUAAUCAGAAGGUCGUGAGUUCGAUCCCCACCCGGGGCA
Non-coding RNA from Araneus ventricosus, 89 nucleotides. The record is from the annotation of a GenBank genome assembly. Lineage: Eukaryota; Metazoa; Arthropoda; Arachnida; Araneae; Araneidae.